RNAcentral lists this ribosomal RNA (253 nucleotides) under uncultured bacterium. Its description in RNAcentral is "partial 16S ribosomal RNA". It matches the Rfam family "Bacterial small subunit ribosomal RNA", at positions 524 to 776 of the family's 1533-position model. The record is from RNAcentral.
UACAGAGGCCUCGAGCGUUAGGCGGAAUCACUGGGCUUAAAGCGUGUGUAGGCGGACUUCUAAGUACCUUGUGAAAUCCCACGGCUUACCCGUGGAACGGCUGGGUAUACUGGUCGUCUUGAGCCAUCUAGGGGCUACCGGAACAAAUGGUGGAGCGGUGAAAUGCGUAGAUAUCAGGAGGAACACCGGUGGCGAAGGCGGGUCUCUGGGCAGUAACUGACGCUGAGGAGCGAAAGCGUGGGGAGCGAACAGG